GGAGGAAAAGAAACUAACAAGGAUUCCCCUAGUAACUGCGAGUGAAGCGGGAAAAGCUCAAAUUUAAAAUCUGGUAGUCUCUGGCUGCCCGAGUUGUAAUCUAGAGAAGCAUUAUCCGCGCUGGACCGUGUAUAAGUGUUCUGGAAUGAACCAUCAUAGAGGGUGAGAAUCCCGUCUUUGACACGGACUACCAGGGCUUUGUGAUGUGCUCUCAAAGAGUCGAGUUGUUUGGGAAUGCAGCUCUAAAUGGGUGGUAAAUUCCAUCUAAAGCUAAAUAUUGGCGAGAGACCGAUAGCGAACAAGUACCGUGAGGGAAAGAUGAAAAGAACUUUGGAAAGAGAGUUAAACAGUACGUGAAAUUGCUGAAAGGGAAACGCUUGAAGUCAGUCGCGUUGGCUGGGGAUCAACCUUGCUUUUGCUUGGCUUACUUCCCAGUCGACGGGUCAGCAUCAGUUUUGACCGGUGGAUAAAGGCUAGGGGAAUGUGGCACCUACGGGUGUGUUAUAGCCCUUGGUCAUAUACACUGGUUGGGACUGA
RNAcentral lists this ribosomal RNA (537 nucleotides) under Termitomyces yunnanensis. Its description in RNAcentral is "partial large subunit ribosomal RNA". It matches the Rfam family "Eukaryotic large subunit ribosomal RNA", at positions 52 to 589 of the family's 3401-position model. Lineage: Eukaryota; Fungi; Basidiomycota; Agaricomycetes; Agaricales; Lyophyllaceae. The record is from RNAcentral.